CCUACGGGGGGCAGCAGUGAGGAAUAUUGGUCAAUGGGCGCGAGCCUGAACCAGCCAAGUAGCGUGAAGGAUGACUGCCCUACGGGUUGUAAACUUCUUUUGUCGGGGAGCAAAGCGAGUCACGUGUGACUCAUUGAGAGUACCCGAAGAAAAAGCAUCGGCUAACUCCGUGCCAGCAGCCGCGGUAAUACGGAGGAUGCGAGCGUUAUCCGGAUUUAUUGGGUUUAAAGGGUGCGCAGGCGGAGGUGCAAGUCAGCGGUCAAAUUGCGGGGCUCAACCCCGUACUGCCGUUGAAACUGCAUCCC
Molecule: ribosomal RNA, 305 nt
Filed under: uncultured bacterium
Lineage: Bacteria
Description: bacterial SSU rRNA
Rfam family: Bacterial small subunit ribosomal RNA
Source: RNAcentral